AGCAGCAGCUACAUACAUACAUACAUACAUAUGUAUGUCGACGUUGCGACGCGUUGUUAUCGCAGUUAUAGUUCGCAGUUGAGUUGCGACGGCGACGCAGUUGUCUUCCCUUCCACAUUGCGAUUGGAUCGACUAGUGCCGGGCGGAGCGGGCGAAACGGGCGAAACGGUUCGGUUCGUUCGGUUCGUGCGAAGAGAAACGUAAAAAAGUUAUCAGAAAUCAAUGCGAUAAGCGGUUAAAGCGGGAACCGCCGCAGCAACAGCAACAGCAACAGCAACAACAGCAGCAACAACAGCAGCAGCAGUAGCAGCAGCAGUCGCUGAUAAACAACGGUCGAGGUGAGUUAAAGCUUUGAGUUCAACUCAACCGAGUUGAGUUGAGUUAUUCUUGGCACUGAGUUGAGUUUGAGUUGAGUUUGCUGAGGCGCCUGCGCCAGCUAACGGUGUGUUGAUGACGUCGCCGCUAAGCCAAGCUGGGCAGGCAAAAGCGCAAAGAGAACAAAUUGAGCGCAGCAACAACUACAACUACAAUGAAAACAACAGCUAAAGCCGCAGCCACAGAGCACCACACACAGUUACAGCUCCUGUUACAGCAGCACACAGCAGCAGCAGCAGCAGCGGCGGCUGACAAAAUAAACAACAAAACGAAACGUCUUACAGCGCCAGCAGCUCCCCAGCACCAGCGUCAGGCAGCGACAUCGACUGCGACAGCGACAGAGGCAGAGGCAGCGGCUUCAAAGCAUCCGCUCUGAAAAUCAGUGCAGGCAACCGCAGCGUCGUCCUAGGCCAUGUGCGGCUAACGUUGUUUUGUUGCCUUGGCUGCAGAAAAAGUUUAAAAACAAAAAUUCAGCACAAAUUCAAAAUCAAAAAAUUUCAAAUAUAUCCACAAUAAAAGCAUUUAAGCAAAUUCUGCUCAACGGACAGUUGUUGCUCUAGUUUUUUUUUUCAGUGUUUUGCAUAUAUUUGUUGUUUUUUUUUCUGUUAUUUUUUGUUGUUGUUUUAAUCGUGUGCGUGUGCAAGAAAGAAAGAAAUAGAAAACGCUGUUUUAAAUUACGAGCGGGCGAAAUUAUGAAAUGCUAAUAAAAUUCAAAUGCGAAAAGCUGCAAAAAAUAAUUAUUAACGUCUC
Drosophila navojoa is the source of this 1125-nucleotide long non-coding RNA. The record is from RefSeq and is a predicted model, not a curated record. NCBI's taxonomy places the organism in Eukaryota, Metazoa, Arthropoda, Insecta, Diptera, Drosophilidae.